Small nucleolar RNA from Hemicordylus capensis (graceful crag lizard), 132 nucleotides. RefSeq annotates it as small nucleolar RNA SNORA3/SNORA45 family. The record is from RefSeq and is a predicted model, not a curated record. The transcript has a single exon. NCBI's taxonomy places the organism in Eukaryota, Metazoa, Chordata, Lepidosauria, Squamata, Cordylidae.
ACCGAGACUAGAGUCACAUCUAGAUGCUGUUGGUGAUCGUGGUGUGCUAUAGUACUCGGAGAGUAAUCACUGACCUUUAUUCACUGACUGUGUUGUGCAGUAGCAUAGUCAGUCACCAGGUUAGUGACAGAC